Long non-coding RNA from Prionailurus viverrinus (fishing cat), 1155 nucleotides. RefSeq lists it as uncharacterized. The transcript has 3 exons. Lineage: Eukaryota; Metazoa; Chordata; Mammalia; Carnivora; Felidae. The record is from RefSeq and is a predicted model, not a curated record.
UCUGAGGAGACACAGCAGGAGCCCUCAGGGCACCACUAACAAGAAAUGUAUAGAAUGGAAACAGCUGAAGAUGGGCCUUGCUGCUACAGGGUUAAGUUCUUACCUGUACAGAAAGCCCCCCCGAAGUAACCUCAGAGUGUGAUCCAACUACCUACCUGCCCACUGAAGUAUCAUCAUGUCAGCAGUGCCCAUGGAACAAUGUGUCCACUAUUCAAGAAUAGAACAAGAGGGACAGCACUUAACGUUUGCUCUCCAAGGAGACCAGAGUCUAGACAGAGAGAGACAAUAUGUCCUCUAUGAGCUAUGAAGUCUCCAUGAAAUAUGCAGACAUAUACUAAGGGAUGGUGAUGCUCCGAGGAGCCAUAUAUAAUCAAUCUGCUAUAAUCAGGGAGUUUCCUGGAAGAGGCAUACGUGAGCUGAAGCUCAAAGAAUAACAGGAAAACAACAGGGAAGCCAGCCAGGGUUGAUAACAUGAAGGGGACAACAUAAGGGUAGGUAAUUAACAAUGGCAAAACUAACUCAAAGACAAUGACUCUGCUCCUCCUGCUUAAUGCCUUCACAUGUGUGACCUGCAAAACAUCUACAGAGAAGUUUUAAAGUCAUGACUCACUGCCCUUCUUCCGAGCACAUCUCCUCCAGAGCAGACACCCACCCUUCUGGAGGACCCUGUGAGGCAAACCUUGUGCCUGACUCUUGAAAAGCAUCCAGCUUAGGUGUCUCCUAAGCAGCCAUGAAUCAUCCCAGCUCCAUACCAGAGAUCUUGGGCAAAGAAUUUUAGUUCUUCUAAAGAGCUGUAUAUGACAAUGCAAGCUCCAGAGGCCUCCCAAGAACACUGUGCCUUGGAGAACCAUGAUAUCAACACUGGGUAUGUGAGAACCUGGAGUACCACAAGUCAACUCUGUCUUCUGCAUCCUCCCCACCAGGCCCUGAACGGAAUGACCUGAGAAACAAUGGGGAAGGAACCUGCAUGUCCUUGCAGGAAUUAGUAGAUUCUCAAAGACUUUCCGGAAGCAACAAAGAACUUGAAGAAAGAUGCAUCUUCCUUCACUGGCACCACCCAAUCCCUUCAAUAAAACAAAAUCAAAAGAAAUCAAAAGGAGAGGAUAAAGACCUGCAUUAGAAUCACAUCUCCUCUACCUACCAGCCUUGUGAUUU